Molecule: long non-coding RNA, 6917 nt
Organism: Carassius gibelio (silver crucian carp)
Lineage: Eukaryota; Metazoa; Chordata; Actinopteri; Cypriniformes; Cyprinidae
Exons: 4
Source: RefSeq, a predicted model, not a curated record
CCAUCAAUGAUGAAUAUGCUUCAACUUUUUCUGUGUAUGGAUUUUGUGAAUAAGCACUACAGAAUAAUACAAGUUAAUUUAAAGUAUAUUAUUGUUUAUUUUAUUUGGAUUUUUAUUAUUAUUAUGAUUAUUAUUUGUAUUUUUUUGUAUUUUUUUUUGCCACACCCCCCAUAAUCCCACGCCCAAACAUAAUGCAACACGGUGACAUCGCGCUAUUGCGCCAUUUUGCGACUACUUGGCGGUCUUUUUUGGAUCGGCAGGCAUCAGUUUAUCAGGCGGCCUGCGGUGCACUUACAGCUCAAACUGUGAAGCCAUAUUGUUGUAAGGUUGAUGAAAAAUGAGGUCAUGGCCUGUUUCAGUAUGAAGUGGGGGAAGGGGAAGCUUGCUUUCACCAAGAUCAAUCUGUACACUGUUGUCACAGAGAGUGUCCAGAAAACAUCAAAAGAGACGGGGCAAAUACUGCAGCAGCCACUGCCUUUUGUUUAAAAUAUGCCCCAGCAGAGCCGUCGCAAGGAGGGUGAGAGGCCCUGUGCAAAGUUGAUGUGCGAGGCCCUCUACAAUUUUGCGUGUGUAUGUGUGUGUGUGGUGGGGGAGGUUGCUGUAGCAAGGCAAGGCAAGUUUAUUUAUAUAGCAAAUUUCGAACAAAAUGGUAAUUCAAAGUGCUUUACAUAAAAUUAAGUAAAAUAAUCAUGAAGAACAAAACUAAAACAAGCAAUUUUAAAACUUUGGAAAUUAUUAAAAAAUUGACUUGAAUUUAAAACAGUUAGAAAUAGAAAAUGAUCUUACAGUUGAUACAUAAAAUACAGUGCAAUCAGGUCGGACAUCGCACAGUGCUCAUUCAAUAAAUGCACAGCUAAACAGAUGAGUUUUGAGUCUAGAUUUAAAUGUGACUAGUGUUUUAGCACAACUGAUCUCUUCUGGAGGCUGAUUCUGGAAGCAAUGUAUUUUGGUCCUAGGUCUUUGAGUGACUUCUAGACAAGUAGAAGUACUUUAAAAUCAAUCUUAAAUGUAACUGGAAGUUAAUGAGGACUGGUGUGAUAUGCUCAGAUGUUCUAGUCAGAAUCCUGGCAGCAGUGUUCUGGAUGAGCUGCAGCUGUCUAAUGGUCUUUUUGGGAAGGCCGGUGUGGAGCCUAUUACAAUAGUCCACCCUGCUGGUGAUAAAGCAUGAACAAGUUUCUCCAAGUCUUGGCUGGAAACAAAACAUCUAAUUCUUGCAAUGUUUUUUAAAUGAUAGUAUGCUGAUUUAGUUACUGCUUUGACAUGACUACUGAAACUAAGGUCUGUCUCCAGAAUCACACCACGUUUCCUGUCUUGAUUUUUAGUUGUUAGACCCCUAGAGUCAAAGUAUGCAUUCACCUUAAAAACUUCAUCUUUGUUUCCAAAUGCAAUGACUUCAGUUUUUUCCUUGUUUAACUGAAGAAAGUUCUGGCACAUCCAGCUAUUAAUUUCAUCAAUGCAUUGGCAGAGGGAGUCAGUGGGGCUGUAUUCAUUUGGAGAUAAGGCUAGGUAAAUCUGGGUAUCAUCAGCAUAGCUGUAAUAGGCAAUUAGGUUCUUUCUCAUUAUUUUACUUAGAGGAAGCAUAUACAGGCUAAACAAGAGCGGUGCAAGAAUUGAACCUUGUGGGUCUCCACAUAUCAUGGAUGUCUACUUAGACUUAUGCUCUCCUAGACUCACAUAAUGAUCGCUCAUUUUUAAGUAUGACCUGAACAAUUUGAGUACCAUCCCAGAAAGCCCGACCCAGUUUUCCAGUCUCUCUAGUAGUAUGUUAUGAUCGACAGUGUCAAACGCAGCACUGAGAUCUAGCAAUACCAGCACUGAUAUAUUGCCAGAGUCACAAUUUAAGUUAAUAUCAUUUAUUAUCUUAAUGAGUGCUGUCUCUGUGCUGUGAUGCGGUCUGAAACCAGAUGUUUAAGUAUUUAUUCAGCUGAUUAAAAACUACCUUUUCUAUAAUUUUGCCUAUAAAAGUAAGAUUAGAUAUUGGUCUAUAAUUGCUCAAAAUGGUGUUAUCAAGAUUGCUCUUUUUCAGGAGGGGCUUAACAACUGCAGUUUUCAGGGAGUUUGGAAAAGUCCCAGAAAGAGAUUUACUUCUAAACAGUUAAGCACACUUUUGAAAAAAUAUGUGGGAAGUGUGUCAAUAUAGCAAGUUGAUGAUUUUAGUUGCUGCACUAUGUCUUCCAAAAUGUUGUUUGUUUUCUUACUGACUAUUAUUGGAGCAAUAUCAUUAAUAACAUUCUUAACUUUUGAGUUGAAGGAAUCAAGGAGAAUAUCAACAGAGUCGGUUGGUGUUAAAGAUAUGGCCUCCGUAAAUAGUACACUAGUGUUCUUGUUAGGGCUGCACUAUUAAUUGCAUGCAAUUGUCAUGCAUGUCUCGUCAGUAAAGCUGGAUCUGUGAUUAGCGGUUGAUGUCAAUAACCUGCUUUCAAAUGGAGCCGCACUUAAUAGACAGAGCCGUAGUUCGCUGACAAGCUACGCAAUCUCACGUUCAUAACCGCAUGAGAUUCUUCUGCGAUUUUGAACGCAAUAAUGCACCACUUGUCAGCGAACUACGGCUCUGGUUAUUAAGUGCGGCUACAUUUGAAAGCAUAUCCUUCUGACAGAGACAGUUCUAGAGUAAGUGGUAGCAGAGAUCAAUAUAUCAAAGAAAAUACAGAAGUGAUCAGAUAGUACUACGUCCUUAAUAACAAUGAAUGAAAUGUUUAGAGCCCUACUGAUGAUUACAUCUAGUGUGUCCACCUUUGUGUGGGUCCAUGCACAUGCUGAAUCAAGUCAAAGGUAUUUAGAACUGUUAUCAUUUGUUUGUAGUUUUGUUUUCUGCAUUGUCUAUGUGAAAAUUAAAAUCCCCUGCAUUAGCAAAACAGUCAAACUCUGAGGAAAUCAUUGAUAACAUUUCUGUUACCUCAACAAAUGCUGAAGAGUAUUUUGGAGGCCUGUAAAUAAUAAUAAAAAGAAUGUGUUGAGCACCUUUUAGCACAAUCCCUAAAUAUUCAAAAGACAAGUCAUGACCAAAUGACACUUGUUUGCAUUGAUAGACAUCUUUAAAAAAGCAGCUCCACCUCUCCUAACAGUCCUGCAAACACUCAUGGAAGUGAAGUUAGGAAGGACUGCUUCAUUGAGGACUGAUUUAGUGAGCGAAUGUUUAAAGAUGCUAACUUGAUGGCAGUGCUUUAUGUCAUUACAUCAGUUUUAGUUUGAUGCAUAUUAGGUGAGUUUGCCCUUCGGCUUAAGAUGGCCUUAAACUUUCUGUCACAUGAUAAAAGUGAAAUUGAGAAAGCUACAGGCACACUGGGUUCCCACUUGUUCUUUAAACAUUUGUGAAUGUUGCGGUUAUAAUAGCAGGGACCCGACACAUAUCACUGAGAGCUUCUAUCAGUUGUUUUUGGUUUGAUGUUUUGGGACCCUGCUGUUUUCUUGUUGACAUUUGCGGGCUUGCAGCGAAUGAGUGAGAGAGUUUAGUCCAAGCAUACACCAAUUCUACCAUUUUCAGUGAAAAGCACAGAAGUGGAGAUGCUGGAGAGAGGAAUAAUGUGUCUGGUGAGAUGGGUUGUGUCUCUGGUGUUUCUUGUGGCUGUGAUAUGUUGUCUUGGCUUCCCCGGCUGUCUUCAAGAAAGUCAUCCUUGAGUACUGAGUCUUGUAUCUGUUUUGAUACAUCACAGUCUGUCUGUGAGGAGCUCUGAGGGCAGGUCUCUUCCGGGAUGGUGUCCAUCAGCAGUGCUUUUUGUGGCUGCAUGGUGUUAUCAGUUGGGAGUGGUCCACUGAUGAACGACUGAACUUGGAGUCUUCAAAGUGUUUGAAAGAGUUCACUGAAGUCCUUCUUAAGGAUGUUUGACUGCUUUUUGAGAGUAUCAUUCUUCCCCACAUGGAUUGAUAAUUAGAUUUGUAGUCUUGUGCUUCAUUUUCUGAAGUUCCGUGUUCACAUAAGAGACCGUUGCUUGAGGAAUGCAGCAUGUUAUUGUAGUCCUGCUACGGAUGUUUCUGAUAAUAGAGUCACCCACUAUCAGUGUCCUAGGCUCGGCUAUGCUCUGAGCUGAAUGUCACUGUCUGUAAGUAACGGUGUUAGCUGCUAAUCACAUUUGGGGAUUCCUCACCCGCAUUCAUUAAUUCUUCAAAUCUGUUUUCAAGAUGUAUAGUGGGAGGUAGAAUACUGGUAUUUACAAGCCUUGUCAUAGUUGAAUCUGGGGUAGAGAAAGCUACGGCAGCAAUACGAGAAACUCAUGACAAUCUGAUGUCUUGUGUUCCUCUGGGUCUUGCACCCUGUUUGUGCCAUCGAUUAGUGUGAUGAUCCGUUUCGGCUUGUUCCUCUACACUUGGUACAAACUGUUGAGAUUCAGAAGAUUCACGGGACUCACCGGCUGAGAGGGUCCAUGACGACAGUCUGCUGAGUGUUUCGCCUGUUUUGGAAGUCCAGCAAGUAACUUUGUUUCAAGAAUCACAAUUCUUUGUAGAAGUUUGCAGCAGUUCAUGCAACAAGUAGAUCCAACAGGAGGCAUUUUCUCUCUCUUCCAUUUGAAUGUAGGCAGUUGUUUUCCCAUCUCCAGAAUGUAAGCUGCUGGCAGUGGGAGGCAAAGUCUUCUUUUGUAGUAUUAUUCCAGUCAAAAAAAGUUUUUAGUUUUAGCGUUUGUGCCAAAAAUAUUUUGUUUGAGCACUGUGCUGAUCUGCUGAAGUAAAAAAAUCGUAGAAAAAUCUGAGAAAAGUACAGAAAUAAUAAGCGAAGUGCAGAACAGUAGGCUAGAACGUCCGAACGGUAGCAAAGCCAGAACCGCAACAAACUCAACUUUAACAUGCAUCUGUUCGAUUGUGAUGCCUUGCUCACUGACAUGCUUGCGCACAAAUCAUGGCCACACACUAGCUCAUAAGGAUCUACAAUCAUAAUUAUAAUAAGUUAAUAAGAAUGCUCAAAUUAGUUCUAGGCUUGUAGACAGUUAUAUAUGAAGAGUUCAGAUGGAAAGAGCGAUCCAAUAUUUUCUCAUCUUCCUAUGUUUAUGUUCAGUAUUUCACUUUAUUGGGAAAGAAAAGAAACUGUUUAUUGCUAUUAAAGUGAAAUUAAACGGUACUAGGUUUUUGCAGCUGAAUUUUACAUCUAAAAUCAAUUUGCACUAUUUGAAAAUAAUAUUUUCUUUUAAAAUGUGCACUCUCACUCUUAUUCGUAUGUUUAAUAGUCGAAAACGCAAAUGUCUAUUGUCACAUUUAUUUUAUGUUUUACAUGAAUCAUUAACCUAUCGCAUUUUUUCAAUUCAAAAGGGCGAAAUUUCAUACAAGGUUGAGUAGUUUGCAUCUCUAGAUAGUCUAUUAUGUUUAGUCGCUGAACAUUUCAAUCAUAAAACAGUUCUCUAAUACCGUAGGCUACUGCUUACAUUUUUCCACAAACUCUAGUUAUGUUGUGACAGUAAGACCCACAUUCUUUGAUAUGAUUGGCCAUCUCGACCACUGAGGCAGACCAGCCUAGAGCCUUGCACGGACCUAAAAUUUAAGCCCUAUCCCUAGACCUAGAUUUUUUUUUUAAUGGCCAAGCGGCCAGUGCCAGACAGUGAACCUAUGGAUCAGUUUAGCCUUCUUAAAUCAUCACGACUUGCCUAAAAUAAAAUCUAUAGAUAUAUAAAACAGUUCAAGUAUUUUAAAAAAUUAAACCUAGAUAAAUGUGCGCUAUAUCCAGUAGUUUGUGCGGAGAGUGCAAGCAAAAGCGUGCUGGCCAGUGCAAUCACUUGCAUUUUUUUCAGUGGAUAUGCAGUAAUUUUUGCUCAUAAAGGUAAGAGUAAUACAUCAUUCGUAACUGUAAAUUGUCUACUUUUAUUUGUGUGCAAUCACAUUAUCAACAAAUCGUUGUGCUUUUAUAAAAAAAAAAGAAAAUAGUCAUGAUGCGCUUUCUACCGUCUCGUCUUGAACAGGAGCACUUAACAAAAAUGAACCAAAGCUCAGUGAAUACAUGACUCACGGACGUGACAAAUAUAUCUAUAGAAAACUUUAAAAGACUACUUAACAAAAUACAACACAUCAGAAACAAAAACUCAUUCAUUAUAAAGAUAAUCCAUAAAGAUGAACUUCUCUCUUAAGGCUUGUAAAAUUAAGAGUUGGCGAGUCAGGAUUAGCAACAUCAUCCUUGCUACACCAACUCAGAAAACUAUUUAUUAGUAAAUAAUUCAAUCUCAUUCCUAUUUACCCCAUGACUCAUUUAUGGUAAUAAUUUUUUGAAGAUGCUUUAUGUCAAGCUUAAGCCUUUUGCGUGCAUUUAAAAGCAGAACACUGUGAUGCUGCGGGACACUUAACACUGUUAAGCCGCUAUUGACAGUCAUGUUAGCACGGUCUCGUGUUGUUUCCCUCAGUGCGGCAAUUUUUUCAUCACUAAUUGAUGGAUGUCUUAAAUAUAAAAAUAAGGAGAAGCCUUAAACAGGCCUAAGGACAGCCCGCAUCUGAACUAUGUUGUGGAAAUUGGCCCGAAACCCGGCCUGGAGUGUAAAAAAAGUCAGGGUGAAAUGCAGGGCUCUAGACCAUUUAAAAGUUAAACUUUAUAACUUUUUGUCGUCCUAUCAACAAACAGCUUUACUCAUUCUUAUACUUAGAGUCUUGUACUGUCUAUCCGCUAUGACUAUUUUAGUCUACCAAAGGACAAGAUGGGUGGAAAAAAUAGUAAUAAAAAUGAGAUAUAAAUGACAUAAAAUGCAGGCGAGGCCCUCUAGAGGUGUGAGGCCUAGUGAAGUUGCACACUUUGCACAGCCCUUGCGACGUUACUGUGCACCAGACAGGGUGGGUGGAGGUGGCAGGAAAAAAAGAAAGAUGUUAAUAAAAUGUAUGUUAAUGUUUUCAAAACUAUUCAGUUCCAAUAAUGUUGAUGUUAAAAUGUAAUUAUUUUGUAAAUGUUCUGUUCCAUGUUAAAUGUAAAUGAUACAACAUGUGAAUAAAUAAAUCAUAUUUGUUAUAAUCCA